RNAcentral lists this long non-coding RNA (1735 nucleotides) under Chloebia gouldiae (Gouldian finch). Its description in RNAcentral is "Erythrura gouldiae (Gouldian finch) lncRNA (ENSEGOG00005009346.1)". The record is from RNAcentral. Lineage: Eukaryota; Metazoa; Chordata; Aves; Passeriformes; Passeridae.
GGGGCCAUUUUGGGUGGGUUUGGGGACAUUUUGGGUCACUUUGGCGCCAUUUUGGGUGGGUUUGGGUCACUCUGGGGCCAUUUUGGGUGGUUUUGGGACAUUUUGGGUGGGUUUGGGGCCAUUUUGGGCGUCUCUGACCUCUCCGUGCCUCCCAGCCGCGGCGUCCCCGGCGCUGCCGCGCGGCCGCAAGGGCCGGAAGGCGCCGAAGGUUCCGGAAGCGCCGGCGGCCGAGUGGCUGCUGCAGGACGAGGCCUUCCGCAAGCACCUGCGCCACCAGAGCGGGAAGUGAGUCCGGAUUUUGGGGUCGUUUCUGGGGAUUUUGGGUCAUUUUGGGUCAUUUAUGGGGAUUUUGGGGUGAUUUAUGGGGAUUUGGGGGUUUUGGGGUAAGUUUUGGGGUUUUUGGGGUUGUUUUUGGGGUCAUGUUUGGCCUUCCGGAAGCACCUGCAGCACCAGAGCGGGAAGUGAGUCCAGAUCCUGGAUUUUGGGGUCAUUUCCUGCGAUUUUGGGUCAUUUUGGGUCAUUUUGGCAUUUUUGGGGUGAUUUUUGUGGGAUUUGGGGUUUUUGGGGUCGUUUUUGUGGGAUUUUGGAGUCAUUUUAUGGGGUUUGGGGUUUUUGGGGUCGUUUUUAGGGGAUUUGGGGUUUUUGGGGUCAUUCUGUUAACUAUCUGUGUGUCCAUCUCUCUGUCCCUGUGUCCGUCUGUCCAUCCUGUGUCCACCUGUCCAUCCGUCCAUCCCGUGUUCAUCCUGCGUGUCCAUCCUGUGUCCAUCCUAUGUCCAUCUGUCCGUUCAUCCUGUGUCCGUCUGUCCAUCUGUCCACCCGUCCAUCUGUCCAUCCUGUGUCCAUCUGUCCAUGUGUCCAUCCAUCCAUCCUGUGUCCAUCCUAUGUCCAUCCGUCUGUCUGUCCGUCCCAUGUCCAUCUGUCCAUCCCGUGUCCGUCUGUCCGUGUGUCCAUCUGUCCAUCUGUCCAUGCGUCCGUCUGUCCAUGUGUCCAUCUGUCUAUCUGUCCAUCCCGUGUCCAUCUGUCCAUCCUCUGUCCAUCUGUCCAUCUGUCUGUCUAUCCUGUGUCCAUCCUGUGUCUAUCUGUCCGUGUCCAUCUGUUUAUCUGUCCAUCCAUCCUGUGUCCAUCCCGUGUCCAUCCCACAUGUCCAUCCCGUGUCCGUCUGUCCAUCCUGUGUCCAUCUGUCCAUCCUGCGUCCAUCCCGCAUCCAUCCCGUGUCCAUCCUGUGUCCAUCUGUCCAUCNGUCUGUCCAUGUGUCCAUCUGUCCAUGUGUUCAUCUGUCCCUGUGUCCGUCCGUCCAUCCUGUGUCCAUCCUGUGUCCAUCUGUCCAUCUGUCCAUGUGUCCACAUCUGUCCAUCUGUCCGUCCAUCCGUCUGUCCAUCUGUUCAUCUGUCCAUCCUGUGUCCAUCCUGUAUCCAUCCCGUGUCCAUCCCGUGUCCAUCUGCUCAUCUGUCUGUCCAUCCCACGUGUCCGUCCCGUGUCCUUGUGUCCGUGUCCAUGUGUCCAUCCUGUGUCCAUCCGUCCAUCCCAUCUGUCCAUCCGUCCAUUCUGUGUCCAUCUGUCCAUCCCUUGUCCAUCCUGUGUCCAUCCUGUGUCCAUCCCACGUGUCCAUUGUGUGUCCGUCUGUCUGUGUGUCCGUGUGUCCGUCCGUCCAUCCCUUCUGGGUCCAUCCCGUGUCCCUCUGUCCGUGUGUCCGUCUGUCCGUGUGUCCGUCCGUCUGUCCGUGUGUCCAUCUGUC